Molecule: ribosomal RNA, 301 nt
Filed under: uncultured bacterium
Lineage: Bacteria
Description: partial 16S ribosomal RNA
Rfam family: Bacterial small subunit ribosomal RNA
Source: RNAcentral
CAGUCGCCGCGGUAAUACGAAGGGUGCAAGCGUUAAUCGGAAUUACUGGGCGUAAAGCGUGCGUAGGCGGUGAGUUAAGUCUGCUGUGAAAUCCCCGGGCUCAACCUGGGAAUGGCAGUGGAUACUGGCUCGCUAGAGUGUGUCAGAGGAUGGUGGAAUUCCCGGUGUAGCGGUGAAAUGCGUAGAGAUCGGGAGGAACAUCAGUGGCGAAGGCGGCCAUCUGGGACAACACUGACGCUGAGGCACGAAAGCGUGGGGAGCAAACAGGAUUAGAUACCCCAGUAGUCCCUGUCUCUUUACA